This is a long non-coding RNA of Alexandromys fortis (reed vole), 2806 nucleotides long. RefSeq lists it as uncharacterized. The transcript is spliced from 3 exons. The record is from RefSeq and is a predicted model, not a curated record. NCBI's taxonomy places the organism in Eukaryota, Metazoa, Chordata, Mammalia, Rodentia, Cricetidae.
GAAUUGUUGGGGUCUGGUGACCCAGUUGAGCCCAACAUGGCUUUCCUAUAGCACCCCCUCUGCUUUCUCCAAUGUUCAGAUAAGAUGUCAGUGAUUAAUGUCUAAUGUUGCAGUCACAGGCCCCCAGGCCCUCGAACAUCACAGGACCGGUUGACAGAGUGUCCAAGAAACACUUCAGAACAGAAUGGAAUUCAGCACACUAGGGACCAGUGGGGAAAGUGGGGAUUCCCCCAUCUCACGAAGGAUGGCUUCCAAACAGUGUGACCCUGUCCAGGCCCUUCCUGCCCCAUGAGGUAGCCAUGAUGGUUCAUCCUGUGAACUCUGGUAUGAAGAUGGCUUCAGUACCAACCAGUCUGGUCUCUAGACUGUGGAAUAAGGGCUCAAAGAACCUUGGAUUAGAUUCCUUCUUGACCCUGCGUGUUGGUGUGUUAAUCAUUUGAGGCUGUCUGUCUCAACACGAGUGAUAAAAGAUUGGCUUUUCUCCAAACUGACGUAGCCUUUCUCAACUCACCUCGAGACGGAAGACAUCAAAAAAGCGUGACUAAAGUGUUUCAUUGCUCUCUUUUACAACAUCCUGUGCCAUGAUCCCUGGAAAGAAGGCAUUGCCCAAAACCCCAGGUCAUCAUGUAUUCCAGGAACAGUGAGCUCAGACCGACCAGCACAUGCGUCCCUUCGUAAGUUCUCUGGUAUGGACGUCACUAAAUUAGAAUCUCAAACAGCCUAAGUGUAUGCUAUCCUCAGCCCUGAGGUGAGCUACCAGCUAUCCCCACCGCUGGCAGACAGGCCAAAUGAGCAGGAAGGAAACCAAUCUGCAAGGACAACUGCACCGAUAGAACGGCAUGUAUUCACAGCACGCAUAGAGGCAUUCAACUGGGGUAAUCAGUUUUCAGUCUAACAUUCUGUCUAGUUAUAAUGGGAAUUGGAAAAUUAACAAGCACAAUAGUGAUUUUAUGACUGCAUGCUUUUAAUGAACAUGAACAAAUUUUAUCUUUUUGUAUUAUACUAUACUUCUAACAAUAUUUACUGAAAUAUAAUUUUAUUUGCUGUCUCUAAAAUUAACUUUUAAGAUUGGGAUUGUACUUUAUGUGCCUUUUAUUUGUUUAUUUUUUCCUUAUAAAAGUAUUAAGUUCAUGACAGAUUGGAAAUAAGAAAGAUCUGUACAUGGGCUGGGAAACAGAAAUGCGCGCGCAGCAGUCAAGCUGGCUCCUUCCCUGGGGUGAGAUGGGCCUAGCUCUAAGGUAUGCACAUUUCUUGUUCUUAGAAUUUAAUUGUAUAUUGACACAGUGCAUUUUAUAUGAAGACAUAAAACGUUAGUUCAGGAAAAUUAUUGUUUCUAUGGGAACGAAUCUGAACACUUGAAUGAUUUAGAAUAGUUCAAUACAACUGAACUAUGGAAAUAAUUGCUAUUAUAUUCAGUGUGCGGCAGAGAUGGCAGGAACUAAAAGGCGAAAUGAAAACCUGGGAUUUUGCCAUCAAGGUAUUUCACAAGUGUCUUAGGGUUCUUGUCCUAUGAUUCAGGAGUUGAACAGGAUUUUUCUAUUCUUUUUAUCUAUCUGUCUGUCUGUCUAUCUAUCUAUCUAUCUAUCUAUCUAUCUAUCUAUCUAUCUAUCUAUGUAGAGGCAAGUUCCUUAAACCAUCUACAUAGCCCAGCCUGGCCUGGAAUUUAUAUGCCUACGCCUUAGGGUAUUAGUGUUCUCAUAGAACUUUGAAACAACGCAAACUGAAAGUGGGCAGACUUCACUCUGUUGUUGUUGUGGUUUAUGUAAAAAUCAACACAGAAAACUCUUACUUCUGCAAAACAGAUAUGAAUGUAACAUUUUUUAAAGUAUGUAUUUGUGUGUGUGUGUGUGUGUGUGUGUGUGUGUGUGAUGUGUGUUUGUCUGCAUGGAUACAUGUGCACCACACGCUUGAAGUGUCUGCAGAGGCCAGAAGGGGGCACCAGACCCCUGGAGUUGAAGUUACAGAUGGCCAUGAGAGCUUCUCAGCAAGAGCAGGUGCUCAGAACAGCUGAGCCACCUCUCCAGCCUUAAAUGUGACAUUCUUUACUUUUCUCCACUUUGAAUAAGAGAUCAGCUGCUUGUCCUAACAGCCCAGACAAAAGAGUUCAUACUGUAAAUACAAAAUUCCAUAUAGAAUAUCCAGGAGAUUCUGGUCCCCUGGCUCACACUGAGAUAUAAAUGGUUAGGCGAUAAAAGACAAAAUACAAUGUAUGGGGAGAGCCGUACCAAUCAAGGAAGCAUAAGGAAUCCGAAAAGAGAUCCUGACCAAAGAAAGACAAUUGUUUUCUUUGUGAAACUGCAAGCUGAGUAUGUUCCUAGACAAGGACCCAGAACCAAAAUUUCCUUGUCGUCUUUCAUUGGAGCCUCUGAGAAAGUCUCGGGUCUGUCUGUCUCCCCACAGAUUAUGCUGAGUGUGUCAAUUUCUGGGGGCAGGAGGAAGCUAGGAUUCUGAUAGUAAUUGCAUUGCUUCUGUAGCAUGAUUAGGGGAACUCCAUCAUUUUAAUAAGAUUGUCUUCAAGUUCAUGAAUAUGGGCUAUCAUUAUAUUUACUUAACUUUUCUUUAAUUUCUUUCCAUUUCUCUUUUAGUUUUCAGUAUCCAAAUCUUGUACUUCAUUUUAAAAUUAAUUUUAGAGUCAGCAUACAGAGUAGUGGACUUAGGUAUAGCAUUUUUGUGCGUAUGCAUCAUUAUGACUUGUUCAGAGCCAUUUCCCUCUCCUGCUGUCCUCUCCUGUGUCCUCUGCUUCCCCUCUGGCUGCUUCUCCUCCACCCUUCAAGGAGUUCUCACUUCUGCUUUUGUGCCACGUGUA